AGAGAUUUGGCUCAGAACGUACGCUGGCGGCACGCCUAACACAUGCAAGUCGAACGAAGUAGCAAUACUUAGUGGCAGACGGGUGAGUAACAUGUAGGUAUCUGCCCUUUGGCCUGGAAUAACACGAGGAAACUUGUGCUAAUACCGGAUAAGUCUUUACGGAGAAAGCUUUAUGCACCAUUGGAUGAGCCUGCACUUGAUUAGUUUGUUGGUGGGGUAAUGGCCUACCAAGACUGUGAUCAAUAGCUGAUUUGAGAGGAUGAUCAGCCACAUUGGGACUGAGACACGGCCCAAACUCCUACGGGAGGCAGCAGUGGGGAAUCUUGCACAAUGGAGGAAACUCUGAUGCAGCGAUGCCGCGUGAGUGAAGAAGGCCCUUGGGUUGUAAAGCUCUUUCGUCGGGGAAGAAAAUGACUGUACCCGAAUAAGAAGGUCCGGCUAACUUCGUGCCAGCAGCCGCGGUAAUACGAAGGGACCUAGCGUAGUUCGGAAUUACUGGGCUUAAAGAGUUCGUAGGUGGUUGAAAAAGUUGGUGGUGAAAUCCCAGAGCUUAACUCUGGAACUGCCAUCAAAACUUUUCAGCUAGAGUUUGAUAGAGGAAAGCAGAAUUUCUAGUGUAGAGGUGAAAUUCGUAGAUAUUAGAAAGAAUACCAAUUGCGAAGGCAGCUUUCUGGAUCAAUACUGACACUGAGGAACGAAAGCAUGGGUAGCGAAGAGGAUUAGAUACCCUCGUAGUCCAUGCCGUAAACGAUGUGUGUUAGACGUUGGAAAUUUAUUUUCAGUGUCGCAGCGAAAGCGAUAAACACACCGCCUGGGGAGUACGACCGCAAGGUUAAAACUCAAAUGAAUUGACGGGGACCCGCACAAGUAGUGGAGCAUGUGGUUUAAUUCGAAGAUACGCGCAGAACCUUACCAACACUUGACAUGUUCGUCGCGACUUUAAGAGAUUAAAGUUUUCGGUUCGGCCGGACGAAACACAGGUGCUGCAUGGCUGUCGUCAGCUCGUGUCGUGAGAUGUUGGGUUAAGUCCCGCAACGAGCGCAACCCUCACUUUUAGUUGCCAUCAUUAAGUUGGGCACUCUGAAAGAACUGCCAGUGAUAAGCUGGAGGAAGGUGGGGAUGACGUCAAGUCCUCAUGGCCCUUACGUGUUGGGCUACACACGUGCUACAAUGGUAUCUACAACAGGAAGCAAGACGGCGACGUUAAGCAAAUCCUUAAAAGAUACCUCAGUUCGGAUUGCACUCUGCAACUCGAGUGCAUGAAGCUGGAAUUACUAGUAAUCGUGGAUCAGCGUGCCACGGUGAAUGCGUUCCCGGGUCUUGUACACACCGCCCGUCACACCAUGGGAGUUGGAUUCACCCGAAGGUAGUGCGCUAACCGCAAGGAGGCAGCUAACCACGGUGGGUUCAGCGACUGGGGUGAAGUCGUAACAAGGUAACC
Molecule: ribosomal RNA, 1441 nt
Filed under: uncultured bacterium
Lineage: Bacteria
Description: bacterial SSU rRNA
Rfam family: Bacterial small subunit ribosomal RNA
Source: RNAcentral